UUUUCUGGGAUUUGUAGCUGCCUUCAAGUGCAAUUGGAAACGUCGAGAUCUAUAAACGAUCUGACGGAAAACAGUAAUUGUGAAAUAUAUGGUCCACUUGGG
Long non-coding RNA from Etheostoma spectabile (orangethroat darter), 102 nucleotides. RefSeq lists it as uncharacterized. Lineage: Eukaryota; Metazoa; Chordata; Actinopteri; Perciformes; Percidae. The record is from RefSeq and is a predicted model, not a curated record. The transcript is spliced from 3 exons.